Molecule: transfer RNA, 74 nt
Filed under: Candidatus Omnitrophota bacterium
Lineage: Bacteria; Pseudomonadati; Candidatus Omnitrophota
Description: tRNA-Val
Rfam family: tRNA
About the family: Transfer RNA (tRNA) molecules are approximately 80 nucleotides in length. Their secondary structure includes four short double-helical elements and three loops (D, anti-codon, and T loops).
Source: RNAcentral
CCCCUCGUAGCAUAAUUGGAUAAUGCGCCUUUCUGACUAAGAGGACGAUGUGGGUUCGAAUCCCGCCGAGGGGG